CAUGUUUGCUUCAUAGGUUGCUUUAGGGAGAUACAUGGCUCCCAGAGUUCCGUUGUAAAUAUGGUCGUCUGUGUAUGAUAAAUUUUUCUUUGGUCGUCUGCAAGGUUUUUGGCUUUAGCUGUUCCAGUGCCAGAUCAUUAGGCCGUAUAUGCCAUAAAAUGGACUAAAUAUUAUUCCUAGAUUUCAAGUUGUCCUACAAAGAAGUAAAUGGAAACAGAAUGACCAUGGGAUAAUCCAUUCAAAUUUUUAAGUGAAAUCUGGACUGAACUUGAUCAUGUGUGUGAUUGAAUGUGGAAUACAAACUGGGUCCUGACUGUACCUGAGUAUGAUGAUUCAUGAAUACAGCAAAAUGUUCAUCUUCACAUUUAAACCAUGUAAACUGUCUAAAUGAUGUAAGACAUGGUGAAGGCUAAAAUGAGUCGAUCCAACUCAGACUACAGCUCCAUUGAUGACUUGUCUCUACCAAGAAACCAGUCUACAGGGUCAGGUCUACCAGUGCCUGCCCCUCACACCCUCAGAGAACGCAGCAACAGUGAUUCCAAUCUUAGUCUUAGCAGUCCACAGAGCUGGUCAGCUCUGACUGUGGACCGCCGGGAAUGUAUCCUGGACCACAGUCAUUCUUGCCACAUAGUUGUAUCAUGGGACAUAAGAGAGGAUGUCUCUGCUCAGGACUGGAUUGCCCUUUAUCGUGCAGAGGAAACAGACAGCUCAAAGUUUUUGGAAUGCAAAACAAGAGGAGCCUGUGGGGGACAAACAGGACAAAUCACCUGGGACUUUUCCAAUAUUGUUCAUGUGCUUGACAAGGAUGUUACCCAUGUGUGCUUCAAGUAUUUCAAAGGUUCUUCGGGUGAUGUUGUGGCCACAAGUCCCAUUGUCACUGUCAGAAAGACUUCAGACACUGAUCAGACAUCCAUUUACCUGGACAAAGCAUCUGUUGUCAAGUCUGAUGAAUCACAAGUGCUCUUUAGACUCUGUAUUUCAGAACUGGAAGCAUGCAAUCUGAAAAAGGGUGUAUUUUUUAACCCUGAUCCUUACAUGAAGCUUACAAUCAUUCCCAGCCAAGCACAGCCACCUGAGGGUCACCACUACCGUGAUCUGCGUUCGUCGGUGUGUCCUAGUACCACAAAUCCAGUUUGGGACAAUGAGACAUUCACACUGGAUGCCUAUGUGUCUGACCUAGUGGAGCUUGAAGUCAAGGAUAAAUUCUCUAAAAGCAGGCCCACCAUGAAUCGGUUCCUGGGCAAGGCAGUGGUUGCUGUGCAGCGCAUCAUGGACAAAAUAAUUCAGGAGCAGGGGCCAGCCUACUUUCAUUUGGAUCUUACUCGACGAAAUCCAUCUGAUAAUGUCAGUGGCACGAUCAAAUUCAAAACAGCCAUGGAAAUGCUUUUGAGCAACUCCAUAAAGGGGGAAGAACGAAAGAAGAACCAUCAGCGCAAAACAUCUCUUCCAGCUCAUCUUAAUUUAGUGUCUGGGCAGACUCAUGUUUCUGGACACAGGCACCGGCACACAGAUCCUGGUUUGCCAUCUGCCAGAAAUGUUUCUAGAGACUCUGGAAUCACAGAGGAAGUUCAUGACACAUGUGACACAGCCAUAUCACAGAUGACUAAAAGCAAGGUUCCUAGAAGUGAAGCGGAGCAAGAAACUUUAUCUGUGCAGGACAGCUUUGAUCAGAGCAGUCCAUCUGCAUGUGCUGUACCAAAUAGUGGGAAUGGAAGGACUAAAAUUGCAGCAAAUAAUGGGGCUGGGCCAUCUGGUGUGACUGGCACAGCACUCCAUAACCAGACAGAUAGCUCUGACUCUGGUACAUCCAUGUCCUUGAUUUCUAGUGGUGAUAACUCUGGCGGCUCCAUUCCCCAGGCAGGGCCAGGUUUUACCUCAGCACUUCAGUCUGCAGAAGAGGAAGAGCCAAGGGACAGGGAGGAAGUGCUGAGGUCUGGUGAUGGCCGUCUGUCUGUCAACAAUGGUUGUGAUUCUUUAAAUGGGAUUAUGCAUCGCAGUACCUCUGGAGACAUACAUAGUAGUAUAAACCACAGUGGAGGUUUAGGGCCCAACGGUAGGCAGCAGGAGUCUCAGGUGCAUAGCCAGGUGGCAGCUAUCAUUGGUUUGCCUGGUGGCAGAGAAGGGGGUGCAGCUGUGGUCAGUUCUAUGGGUGGACAGACUGUUGUGAACAGAACAGACCAAGGAGGAGCGUUAAGGGGUUGCACACCAGACCCUCCUAGCCUUCCUCCAAGAACCUACAGGGAACAACCAGCUCCUCCCCUCCCACCACGGCACCAUCGUCGUGAAAAAGAAGCCCCUCCACUGCCUCCCCGCCACAACUCUGAAAAAGUGCAUAGAAAACGGCAGGCAGAACCUGUCCCCAUGGAACGAACCAUGUCACUGGACUUGCCUCCUCCUCCACUGCCACCUCGGACAUACAGCCCUAUUCACAUGGCAAGUGGCAGCCACAGUCCGGGCUCAGCCAUUCCCAGUUCCCAGGUACCAGAUGGGGGCAGUAGUGAGGGCUUUGCUCCAAUCUCUCACUGUGAUAACUCCCAUCAUCAUCACGUCAGUUUUGAGUCCCCAUCCACAAGCAAUGAAAGUGCAAGCACUUCACGAGAAGACGAUUCUAUGGAUGCACUUUCGCGAUCACAGCUGGGCUGCCAGCAUCCCCAGUCACGUCACAGUGUUGCAGAACUAGAAAGAACACGAGGUCGAGAUCCACUCUUAGCCCAGAACUUGGGACUGAUCAAUCAAGCUCGCGAACGUAACUCCCUUCCUGUGUUGACGGAUAAUUCACCCAGCCUUCACUCAGGAGGCAUCACACCACCUGUACGUCCCCAUCCUAGGUUAGUGCGCACAUCUGCCAUGGACCAGUCGCUAGCCCACCGGCCCCAACCACCACUUGUCUCCAGCAUCAGUGAACAGACACCUCCCACAGCGCACGAACACACAGAACUUCAGAGAUUGCGUGGCAGGAGUGUUGAUGCUGUGAGUUCAGAGCAGGGGGGAAUGACUCCGUCCUCAUCGACUGUCAUGCCCCCACGACUACAACCAAGAGUCCGUAUGUCAGAAGAAGAGCGGCAACAGCAGUGGCAGCAGAUCAACCAGCAACUGCAACUGUGGACCAGGCGUCAGAAAAAACGAGUGGAGAGCCCGCAGCUUGAUGCUCAUGGCCAUUCUCCAGGACCUGACAGUGAUGACAUGACAAUGUCAUUCAACGAGUGUGAAUCUUCUCAUCUUGAAGCGCCAACCUUGCCGUCAUCUAUGUCCAGCCCACAUAUCAGUGCACAGUCUGCACAUGGUGCCCACUCGCCAUUAGCAUCAGGCCAGCAGGGCCUUGAUGAUAUGCUUGAUGGCCGAGAGGGAAGGAUGAGGUCCAGCGUAGCCAGCAGCAACAGUCACUCCCGAGACAACGGUACACCCCAUGUGGCAUUGUCGCGGUCGGCUUCCUCAGGACAUGCACACAGUCGCAGCACAGGUGAAGGAGGUUCAGCACCAUUACCCAAGGUGCCUGCUCGUCGUCCUAAGUAUCACCGUGUGGAUGGUACAGAUGAUCCUCUUCCAUCAGGAUGGGAAGCACGUGUAGACAGCCAUGGAAGAAUUUUCUACAUAGAUCAUGUCAAUCGUACCACAACAUGGCAGCGACCAUCACUUGGUACCCAGACAGUCCAGCGAAGGCCAACGUUAAGCUCUGAGCAGCGACAGCAGUUGGACAGGAGGUACCAAAGUAUACGUCGAACUAUCACCCAAAGUCGACAGCCUGAACCAGAACCAGUUCCCACGAUGCAAGAAAAUGCUAAUUCAGGGCCACCGCAAAAGCAAGAAGUUUCACCAAGACAAAGUGAACCAGGGCCAGCACAUCCUAAUGAUCCAGAACGAUCCAUCUAUCGACUCCCAGCAGUUCGCUUUUUGACUCGUCCAGAUUUUUUUCCGAUGCUUCAGGGCAAUGAGGUGGCUAUGGCAGAGUACAACAGAAAUGGUACAUUAAAGCACAUGAUCACCAAAAUUAGGAGAGACCCACGAACAUUUGAAAGGUACCAACACAACAGGGACUUGGUCUCGUUUAUGAACCUCUUCUCAGAUACUUCAAAGGAGUUACCGCCUCGCUGGGAAAUGAAAUAUGAUAGAGCAGGAAAGCCGUUCUUCAUAGACCACACAAUGCGAGCCACCACAUUCAUUGAUCCCCGCCUGCCUGUGGAGGUACCACUUAUCAAUCCAGACUUUCUGCAGACACCUGUGGCACGGGGACCAGGACGAGGUGCAAGAACGGAACCAGCAGUUUCUGAUGCUCCUGUGCCUCCUCCACGCCAGCCAGUGGAGACACCUAGUUCGAUACCUACAGCAUACAAUGAGAAAGUGGUGCUUUUCUUAAGGCAACCUAAUGUUGACGAACUGCUGAAGGAAAAGGUUUGUCAUUAUUCAGCCAAUACUGCAUUGCGAGAGAAGGUACACAAGAUAAUUUCUCGAGGGACUGAAGUUCUGGACCGGCUGUCUAAUGAUAUUGACCUUAUUCUGUUACUAAGUCAGUUUGAAAAUGAGAUAAUGUCCUACGUGCCACCUAGUCCCAACACUCGCCAGACCAUAAGCACACCAUCAGGCAGCACAGAGCAUGCAGUCCAGGAAUCACCACAAGCUGUUCAGAGAGGCCCAGUGCGUGUACCAGCACCAUACAAGCGAGACUUUCAGGCCAAGCUGAGAAAUUUCUACAGAAAACUGGAGUCUAAAGGCUAUGGUCAAGGACCAGGAAAAUUAAAGCUGACUGUCAGGCGGGAUCAUGUUCUAGAAGAUGCUUUUAAUAAAAUCAUGUCUACGCCUAAAAAAGAGCUUCAGAAAAAUAAACUGUACAUCACCUUUGCUGGUGAAGAAGGCCUUGACUACGGUGGCCCUUCCCGGGAGUUCUUCUUCCUGCUGUCACGAGAGCUGUUCAACCCAUACUACGGCUUAUUUGAGUAUUCUGCCAAUGACAGCUACACUGUACAGAUCAGCCCUCUGUCUGCCUUUGUGGAGAAUGCGCAUGAAUGGUUUCGAUUCUCUGGUCGUGUGUUGGGUCUGGCCUUGGUCCAUCAGUAUCUACUUGAUGCCUUCUUUACCCGUCCAUUCUACAAAGCUCUUCUUCGGGUGCCUCUGUCUUUAGAUGAUGUGGAAACUAUAGACACAGAAUUUUACCAGAGUUUGCUGUGGAUCAAAGAGAAUGACAUAUCUGAAGUAGACUUGGACCUCACUUUCUCUGUUAGUGAAGAAGUCUUUGGCCAGGUGACAGAGAGAGAACUGAAACCAAACGGCAAAAACAUUCCAGUGACAGAGCGCAACAAGAAGGACUACCUUGAGCGCAUGGUCAAAUGGAGGUUGGAACGUGGGGUCACGGAACAGACAGACAGUCUUAUUAAGGGAUUCCAUGAAGUGCUUGAUGGUCGACUGGUUUCUAUAUUUGAUGCUCGGGAGCUGGAGCUGGUAAUAGCUGGCACCGUGGAGAUUGACAUUGCAGACUGGCGCAUGAAUACAGACUACAGAUCAGGCUAUCAUGACCAGCACCCUGUGAUUAUUUGGUUCUGGGAGGCUAUUGAAAAGUUUGAUAAUGAACGGCAGCUGCGACUGCUCCAGUUUGUGACAGGCACAUCAAGCAUCCCCUAUGAAGGGUUUUCAGCUUUACGUGGGAGCAAUGGGCCAAGAAAAUUCUGCAUUGAAAAGUGGGGGAAGAUCACCAGCCUUCCACGGUGAGAAAUAAAGAUUGGUGAAACUAAAUGUGGUUUUCUUAUGUGCGCUUAAUUUCAUUUCCCUUUAACCAUGUGAAAUUGUCUUCCCUGAUGUAAGCCACCUUAUGGUCCGCAGUGCUGGCCGACAGUGGGUUACCUCCCCUGACACUUGUAUUCCCACCAGUCUUCACCUGU
Molecule: unclassified non-coding RNA, 5870 nt
Filed under: Pomacea canaliculata
Lineage: Eukaryota; Metazoa; Mollusca; Gastropoda; Architaenioglossa; Ampullariidae
Description: e3 ubiquitin-protein ligase HECW2-like, transcript variant X1
Source: RNAcentral